ACGAACGCUGGCGGCGUGCUUAACACAUGCAAGUCGAACGGAAAGGCCCCUUUGGGGGUACUCGAGUGGCGAACGGGUGAGUAACACGUGAGUAACCUGCCCUUGACUUCGGGAUAACUUCAGGAAACUGGGGCUAAUACCGGAUAGGAAUCCUUGCUGCAUGGUGGGGGGUGGAAAGCUUCGGCGGUUUUGGAUGGACUCGCGGCUUAUCAGCUUGUUGGUGGGGUAGUGGCUUACCAAGGCUUUGACGGGUAGCCGGCCUGAGAGGGCGACCGGCCACAUUGGGACUGAGAUACGGCCCAGACUCCUACGGGAGGCAGCAGUGGGGAAUAUUGCACAAUGGGCGGAAGCCUGAUGCAGCAACGCCGCGUGCGGGAUGACGGCCUUCGGGUUGUAAACCGCUUUCAGCAGGGGCGAAGCUUGUGGUGACGGUACCUGCAGAAGAAGCACCGGCUAACUACGUG
This 464-nucleotide ribosomal RNA is filed under the name uncultured bacterium. Its description in RNAcentral is "partial 16S ribosomal RNA". It matches the Rfam family "Bacterial small subunit ribosomal RNA", at positions 29 to 507 of the family's 1533-position model. The record is from RNAcentral.